GUUAGUGGCGCACGGGUGCGUAACGCGUGGGAAUCUGCCCCUUGCUUCGGAAUAACAGUUAGAAAUGACUGCUAAUACCGGAUGAUGACUUCGGUCCAAAGAUUUAUCGGCAAGGGAUGAGCCCGCGUAGGAUUAGGUAGUUGGUGGGGUAAAGGCCUACCAAGCCGACGAUCCUUAGCUGGUCUGAGAGGAUGAUCAGCCACACUGGGACUGAGACACGGCCCAGACUCCUACGGGAGGCAGCAGUGGGGAAUUUUGGACAAUGGGGGCAACCCUGAUCCAGCAAUGCCGCGUGUGUGAAGAAGGCCUUCGGGUUGUAAAGCACUUUUGUCCGGAAAGAAAACGCCGUGGUUAAUACCCGUGGCGGAUGACGGUACCGGAAGAAUAAGCACCGGCUAACUACGUGCCAGCAGCCGCGGUAAUACGUAGGGUGCAAGCGUUAAUCGGAAUUACUGGGCGUAAAGCGUGCGCAGGCGG
Molecule: ribosomal RNA, 477 nt
Filed under: uncultured Pseudomonadota bacterium
Lineage: Bacteria; Pseudomonadati; Pseudomonadota
Description: bacterial SSU rRNA
Rfam family: Bacterial small subunit ribosomal RNA
Source: RNAcentral